AACGAACGCUGGCGGCAUGCCUAACACAUGCAAGUCGAACGAGACCUUCGGGUCUAGUGGCGCACGGGUGCGUAACGCGUGGGAAUCUACCUUUUGCUACGGAAUAACUCAGGGAAACUUGUGCUAAUACCGUAUGUGCCCUUCGGGGGAAAGAUUUAUCGGCAAAGGAUGAGCCCGCGUUGGAUUAGCUAGUUGGUGGGGUAAAGGCCUACCAAGGCGACGAUCCAUAGCUGGUCUGAGAGGAUGAUCAGCCACACUGGGACUGAGACACGGCCCAG
RNAcentral lists this ribosomal RNA (278 nucleotides) under uncultured bacterium. RNAcentral describes it as "partial 16S ribosomal RNA". It matches the Rfam family "Bacterial small subunit ribosomal RNA", at positions 29 to 334 of the family's 1533-position model. The record is from RNAcentral.